This is a long non-coding RNA of Mustela erminea (ermine), 461 nucleotides long. RefSeq lists it as uncharacterized. The transcript has 4 exons. The record is from RefSeq and is a predicted model, not a curated record. NCBI's taxonomy places the organism in Eukaryota, Metazoa, Chordata, Mammalia, Carnivora, Mustelidae.
CUGAUUCCCAGCUGGAGGAGAGGGAGAGGAGGUGCUGGAUGACAUGUCUAAGAGGCAGAUGGGGAAGCAGGCCCAAGUGGAGAAGGAUCCCCCUUUGGAACCAUGGUGCAGAGGGUGAACUGGAGAUGACGGGGCAGUUGGAGGCCAGUUGCAGUGUGGUGCUUCAACGGGUUGCACUUCGACAAAUAUCAAGUUCUUCGGGUUUUGACAGAUGCAGAGAAAUUGUGCAUCUUCUACCUCAAGACCAUACAGAACAUCACCCUAAAUAUUUCCCUGAACAUCCCCUUUGUGGUCGACCACACCCCCGGCAACCACUGAGGAUAAGCUGAAGUCUUACGCAUGAAUGUAAUUCUAAAAGAGAGAGCGCGUGUGUGCAUGAGUCAGGAAGAGCCAAAAAGUGAGAAUCUUCAAGCAGACUCUCUGCUGAGCAUAGAACCUGAGGCAGGGCUCCAUCCCAGGAC